Molecule: ribosomal RNA, 497 nt
Filed under: uncultured bacterium
Lineage: Bacteria
Description: partial 16S ribosomal RNA
Rfam family: Bacterial small subunit ribosomal RNA
Source: RNAcentral
GACGAACGCUGGCGGCGUGCCUAAUACAUGCAAGUAGAACGCUGAAGAGAGGAGCUUGCUCUUCUUGGAUGAGUUGCGAACGGGUGAGUAACGCGUAGGUAACCUGCCUUGUAGCGGGGGAUAACUAUUGGAAACGAUAGCUAAUACCGCAUAACAAUGGAUGACACAUGUCAUUUAUUUGAAAGGGGCAAUUGCUCCACUACAAGAUGGACCUGCGUUGUAUUAGCUAGUAGGUGAGGUAAUGGCUCACCUAGGCGACGAUACAUAGCCGACCUGGGAGGGUGAUCGGCCACGCUGGGACUGAGACACGGCCCAGACUCCUACGGGAGGCAGCAGUAGGGAAUCUUCGGCAAUGGGGGCAACCCUGACCGAGCAACGCCGCGUGAGUGAAGAAGGUUUUCGGAUCGUAAAGCUCUGUUGUAAGUCAAGAACGGGUGUGAGAGUGGAAAGUUCACACUGUGACGGUAGCUUACCAGAAAGGGACGGCUAACUACGUG